CCACCGAGUAGGUGCCAAGGAAUCAGUAGUCCGCAGCGGCCAUCAACGCCCAGGUACCGUGUGCCGCAACACCUGCCUGGCCGGCCCCGCGCCUGGGGCGGGGCUUCCCGCGUCCCCUUUAAGAGGCCGCAUCACCCGCCCUGACGUCAGGGUGUCUCUCCGCACGAGCCCGCAUCCCGCUCCGCUCCGCGCCCACAGCCCCGGCGGCUGCACGACGAGCGGCGGCCUGGCGACGGUGCCGCCCCGCUGGGUCCACCGGUCCCUCUCCAUCGCCGUCUCAUUUCCGCACCCGCAGUUGCCCCGCCGGCGCGACCUCUUGCACCAUGUCGGUGGCCGGGCUUAAGAAGCAAUUCCACAAAGCCACUCAGGUAAGGCGCGUGACAGGUGCGUCGAGGA
RNAcentral lists this long non-coding RNA (396 nucleotides) under Marmota monax (woodchuck). The record is from RNAcentral. Lineage: Eukaryota; Metazoa; Chordata; Mammalia; Rodentia; Sciuridae.